Molecule: ribosomal RNA, 312 nt
Filed under: uncultured eukaryote
Lineage: Eukaryota
Description: partial large subunit ribosomal RNA
Rfam family: Eukaryotic large subunit ribosomal RNA
Source: RNAcentral
AUAUCAAUAAGCGGAGGAAGAGAAACCAACAGGGAUUGCCUUAGUAACGGCGAGUGAAGCGGCAACAGCUCAAAUUUGAAAGCUGGCCCUUUCAGGGCCCGCGUUGUAAUUUGUAGAGGAUGAUUCGGCGAGGGCUCCCGCCUAAGUCCCUGGAACGGGGCGUCAUAGAGGGUGAGAAUCCCGUAUGCGGUGGGCUGCCUUAGCCAUGUGAAUCUCCUUCGACGAGUCGAGUUGUUUGGGAAUGCAGCUCUAAAUGGGAGGUAAAUUUCUUCUAAAGCUAAAUACCGGCCAGAGACCGAUAGCGCACAAGUA